Non-coding RNA from Rhineura floridana, 69 nucleotides. The record is from the annotation of a RefSeq genome assembly. Lineage: Eukaryota; Metazoa; Chordata; Lepidosauria; Squamata; Rhineuridae.
GCCGUAGCUCAGUGGCAGAGCAUCUGCCUUAUAUGCAGGAGGUCCCAAGUUCAACCCCUGGCAUCUGCA